Molecule: unclassified non-coding RNA, 276 nt
Filed under: uncultured fungus
Lineage: Eukaryota; Fungi
Description: partial contains 5.8S ribosomal RNA, internal transcribed spacer 2, and large subunit ribosomal RNA
Source: RNAcentral
AACGCACAUGGCGCCCCCCGGCAUCCCGGGGGGCAUGCCUGUCCGAGCGUCGUUUCAACCCUCGAGCCCUACGUGGCCCGGCGUUGGGGACCUACGGCUCCGGCCGCAGGCCCCGAAAUCCAGUGGCGGACCCGCGACGGCCCCUCCUUUGCGCAGUAGCAUCAGCCUCGCAUCGGGAGCCCGCGGGCGCUCCGGCCUCUAAACCCCACUUUAAAGCCCGUCUCCGGCGGCACCAAGGUUGACCUCGGAUCAGGUAGGAAUACCCGCUGAACUUAA